Molecule: ribosomal RNA, 433 nt
Filed under: uncultured bacterium
Lineage: Bacteria
Description: partial 16S ribosomal RNA
Rfam family: Bacterial small subunit ribosomal RNA
Source: RNAcentral
AACGAACGCUGGCGGCAUGCCUAACACAUGCAAGUCGAACGAGACCUUCGGGUCCAGUGGCGCACGGGUGCGUAACGCGUGGGAACCUGCCCUUAGGUUCGGAAUAACUCCCCGAAAGGGGUACUAAUACCGGAUAAUGUCUUCGGCCCAAAGAUUUAUCGCCUUUGGAUGGGCCCGCGUUGGAUUAGCUAGUUGUUAGGGUAAAAGACUACCAAGGCGACGAUCCAUAGCUGGUCUGAGAGGAUGAUCAGCCACACUGGGACUGAGACACGGCCCAGACUCCUACGGGAGGCAGCAGUGGGGAAUAUUGGACAAUGGGCGAAAGCCUGAUCCAGCAAUGCCGCGUGAGUGAUGAAGGCCUUAGGGUUGUAAAGCUCUUUUACCCGGGAUGAUAAUGACAGUACCGGGAGAAUAAGCUCCGGCUAACUCCGUG